CGGGUCGCUGCAGCAGUGGGGAAUAUUGCACAAUGGGCGCAAGCCUGAUGCAGCCAUGCCGCGUGUAUGAAGAAGGCCUUCGGGUUGUAAAGUACUUUCAGCGGGGAGGAAGGGAGUAAAGUUAACACCUUUGCUCAUUGACGUUACCCGCAGAAGAAGCACCGGCUAACUCCGUGCCAGCAGCCGCGGUAAUACGGAGGGUGCAAGCGUUAAUCGGAAUUACUGGGCGUAAAGCGCACGCAGGCGGUUUGUUAAGUCAGAUGUGAAAUCCCCGGGCUCAACCUGGGAACUGCAUCUGAUACUGGCAAGCUUGAGUCUCGUAGAGGGGGGUAGAAUUCCAGGUGUAGCGGUGAAAUGCGUAGAGAUCUGGAGGAAUACCGGUGGCGAAGGCGGCCCCCUGGACGAAGACUGACGCUCAGGUGCGAAAGCGUGGGGAGCAAACAGGAUUAGAUACCCGAGUAGUC
This 464-nucleotide ribosomal RNA is filed under the name uncultured bacterium. Its description in RNAcentral is "partial 16S ribosomal RNA". It matches the Rfam family "Bacterial small subunit ribosomal RNA", at positions 342 to 795 of the family's 1533-position model. The record is from RNAcentral.